ACGGGAGGCAGCAGUGAGGGAUAUUGCACAAUGGGGGAAACCCUGAUGCAGCGACGCCGCGUGAGUGAAGAAGUAUUUCGGUAUGUAAAGCUCUAUCAGCAGGGAAGAAAAUGACGGUACCUGACUAAGAAGCCCUGGCUAACUACGUGCCAGCAGCCGCGGUAAUACGUAGGGGGCAAGCGUUAUCCGGAUUUACUGGGUGUAAAGGGAGCGUAGACGGUAUGGCAAGUCUGGUGUGAAAACCCGGGGCUCAACUCCGGGAUUGCAUUGGAAACUGUCAAACUAGAGUGCAGGAGAGGUAAGUGGAAUUCCUAGUGUAGCGGUGAAAUGCGUAGAUAUUAGGAGGAACACCAGUGGCGAAGGCGGCUUACUGGACUGUAACUGACGUUGAGGCUCGAAAGCGUGGGGAGCAAACAGGAUUAGAUACCCUGGUA
RNAcentral lists this ribosomal RNA (434 nucleotides) under uncultured Lachnospiraceae bacterium. RNAcentral's name for it is "bacterial SSU rRNA". It matches the Rfam family "Bacterial small subunit ribosomal RNA", at positions 341 to 792 of the family's 1533-position model. Lineage: Bacteria; Bacillati; Bacillota; Clostridia; Lachnospirales; Lachnospiraceae. The record is from RNAcentral.